GAUGAACGCUGGCGGCGUGCCUAAUACAUGCAAGUCGAGCGAACAGACGAGGAGCUUGCUCCUCUGACGUUAGCGGCGGACGGGUGAGUAACACGUGGAUAACCUACCUAUAAGACUGGGAUAACUUCGGGAAACCGGAGCUAAUACCGGAUAAUAUAUUGAACCGCAUGGUUCAAUAGUGAAAGACGGUUUUGCUGUCACUUAUAGAUGGAUCCGCGCCGUAUUAGCUAGUUGGUAAGGUAACGGCUUACCAAGGCAACGAUGCGUAGCCGACCUGAGAGGGUGGUCGGCCACAUUGGAACUGAGACGCGGUCCAGACUCCUACGGGAGGCAGCAGUAGGGAAUCUUCCGCAACGGGCGAAAGCCUGACGGAGCAACGCCGCGUGAGUGAUGAAGGUCUUCGGAUCGUAAAACUCUGUUAUUAGGGAAGAACAAAUGUGUAAGUAACUAUGCACGUCUUGACGGUACCUAAUCAGAAAGCCACGGCUAACUACGUG
RNAcentral lists this ribosomal RNA (497 nucleotides) under uncultured bacterium. RNAcentral describes it as "partial 16S ribosomal RNA". It matches the Rfam family "Bacterial small subunit ribosomal RNA", at positions 28 to 507 of the family's 1533-position model. The record is from RNAcentral.